This 450-nucleotide ribosomal RNA is filed under the name uncultured Sedimentibacter sp. RNAcentral's name for it is "bacterial SSU rRNA". It matches the Rfam family "Bacterial small subunit ribosomal RNA", at positions 334 to 804 of the family's 1533-position model. Lineage: Bacteria; Bacillati; Bacillota; Tissierellia. The record is from RNAcentral.
UACUCCUACGGGAGGCAGCAGUGGGGAAUAUUGCACAAUGGAGGAAACUCUGAUGCAGCGACGCCGCGUGAGUGAAGAAGGUCUUCGGAUCGUAAAACUCUGUCCUUGGUGAAGAAAAGGACGGUAGCCAAGGAGGAAGCCCCGGCUAACUACGUGCCAGCAGCCGCGGUAAUACGUAGGGGGCGAGCGUUGUCCGGAUUUACUGGGCGUAAAGGGUGAGUAGGCGGUUGUAUAUGUCAGGUGUAAAAGGCUAUGGCUUAACCAUGGUUAGCACUUGAAACUGUGCAACUUGAGUGCAGGAGAGGUAAGCGGAAUUCCUAGUGUAGCGGUGAAAUGCGUAGAUAUUAGGAGGAACACCAGUGGCGAAGGCGGCUUACUGGACUGUAACUGACGCUGAGUCGCGAAAGCGUGGGUAGCAAACAGGAUUAGAUACCCUGGUAGUCAAUCGAA